RNAcentral lists this transfer RNA (72 nucleotides) under Chitinophagales bacterium. RNAcentral describes it as "tRNA-Thr". It matches the Rfam family "tRNA". Rfam says of the family: Transfer RNA (tRNA) molecules are approximately 80 nucleotides in length. Their secondary structure includes four short double-helical elements and three loops (D, anti-codon, and T loops). RNAcentral also lists the same sequence under 1 other name. The record is from RNAcentral. Lineage: Bacteria; Pseudomonadati; Bacteroidota; Chitinophagia; Chitinophagales.
GCCGAAGUAGCUCAGCGGUAGAGCAACGGUUUCGUAAACCGUAGGCCACGGGUUCAAAUCCCGUCUUCGGCU